This 329-nucleotide ribosomal RNA is filed under the name uncultured eukaryote. Its description in RNAcentral is "partial 18S ribosomal RNA". It matches the Rfam family "Eukaryotic small subunit ribosomal RNA", at positions 1470 to 1796 of the family's 1831-position model. The record is from RNAcentral.
CCCUUAGAUGUUCUGGGCCGCACGCGCGCUACACUGAUGCAUUCAACGAGUAAUCUUUGACCUUGGUCGACAGAUCUGGGUAAUCUUUUGAAAUUGCAUCGUGAUGGGGCUUGCGGGUUGCAAUUACCCGCACCAACGAGGAAUUCCUAGUAAACGCAAGUCAUCAACUUGCAUUGAUUACGUCCCUGCCCUUUGUACACACCGCCCGUCGCACCUACCGAUUGAAUGGUCCGGUGAAGCCUCGGGAUUGUGGCCAGUUCACUUUAUUGGGAGUUGGCUGUGAGAACUUGUCUAAACCUUAUCAUUUAGAGGAAGGUGAAGUCGUAACA